Non-coding RNA from Biomphalaria pfeifferi, 287 nucleotides. The record is from the annotation of a GenBank genome assembly. NCBI's taxonomy places the organism in Eukaryota, Metazoa, Mollusca, Gastropoda, Planorbidae.
UGUUCUUAGUCUUGUUUCCUAUUCUAGUACUCUUGAUAUAAAUACUGAGCUGGGGGAUGGUGUUCAUAUGCAUAUUGGCCCAAGUUUUGAUAGCGUCUGCUUUGUGGCGUGCAUUAAUUAUUGUUAUGCUUAUAAUUAUUAUCUGGCGUGUAAAUCAAAUUAAUUAGACUCUACGAAUUCGUCUCGGUGUCCUAGGGUCCAAGCUUUUUGUUGGUUAGUACCGUUGUUCUUGCCACACACACACAUGCACACACACACAUGCACACACACACACACGCAACGCUGAG